This 618-nucleotide ribosomal RNA is filed under the name Candidatus Mycoplasma haematoparvum. Its description in RNAcentral is "bacterial SSU rRNA". It matches the Rfam family "Bacterial small subunit ribosomal RNA", at positions 324 to 939 of the family's 1533-position model. Lineage: Bacteria; Bacillati; Mycoplasmatota; Mollicutes; Mycoplasmatales; Mycoplasmataceae. The record is from RNAcentral.
AUAUGGCCCAUAUUCCUACGGGAAGCAGCAGUGAGGAAUUUUUCACAAUGGACGAAAGUCUGAUGGAGCAAUACCACGUGAACGAUGAAGAUCUUCUGAUUGUAAAGUUCUUUUAUUUAGGAAAAAAAGCUUGAUAGGAAAUGAUUAAGCCUUGAUCGUACUAAAUGAAUAAGUGACAGCUAACUAUGUGCCAGCAGCUGCGGUAAAACAUAGGUCACGAGCAUUAUCCGGAUUUAUUGGGCGUAAAGGAAGCGUAGGCGGACAAGUUGAUCUAUUGUGAAAAGCACUUGCUCAACAAGUUGUUUGUGAUAGAUAUCGCUUGUCUAGAAUUAGUUAGGAGAUACUGGAAUUCAAUGUGUAGCGGUGGAAUGCGUAGAUAGAUUGAGGAACACCAGAGGCUAAGGCGAGUAUCUAGAACAUAAUUGACGCUGAGGCUUGAAAGCGUGGGGAGCAAAUGGGAUUAGAUACCCCAGUAGUCCACGCCGUAAACGAUGGGUAUUAGGUAUUUGAUAUAAGAUUGAGUGCUGUAGCUAACGCGUUAAAUACCCCGCCUGGGUAGUAUAUAUGCAAAUAUGAAACUCAAAGAAAUUGACGGGGACCUGAACAAGUGGUGGAGCA